AGAGUUUGAUCCUGGCUCAGGAUGAACGCUAGCGACAGGCUUAACACAUGCAAGUCGAGGGGCAGCGGGGGAGCGGCAACGCUCCCGCCGGCGACCGGCGCACGGGUGAGUAACACGUAUGCAACCUGCCCCGGGCCGGGGCAUAAGCGGUAGAAAUGCCGUCUAAUUCCCCAUGACGCACAGGGGGGACAUCCCCCUUGUGCCAAAGGAGUCAAAUCCGGCCCGGGAUGGGCAUGCGGCGCAUUAGGCAGUUGGCGGUGCAACGGACCACCAAACCUACGAUGCGUAGGGGUUCUGAGAGGAAGGCCCCCCACACUGGUACUGAGACACGGACCAGACUCCUACGGGAGGCAGCAGUGAGGAAUAUUGGUCAAUGGGCGAGAGCCUGAACCAGCCAAGUCGCGUGAGGGAGGAAGGCCCUACGGGUUGUAAACCUCUUUUGCCGGGGAGCAAAGGCCGGGACGUGUCCCGGUUCGAGAGUACCCGGAGAAUAAGCAUCGGCUAACUCCGUGCCAGCAGCCGCGGUAAUACGGAGGAUGCGAGCGUUAUCCGGAUUUAUUGGGUUUAAAGGGUGCGUAGGCGGGCCGGCAAGCCGGCGGUGAAAGCCCGGGGCUCAACCCCGGCGAGCCGUCGGAACUGCCGGCCUUGAGUGGGCGAGAAGCGCGCGGAAUGCGUGGUGUAGCGGUGAAAUGCAUAGAUAUCACGCAGAACUCCGAUUGCGAAGGCAGCGCGCCGGCGCCCGACUGACGCUGAGGCACGAAAGCGUGGGGAUCGAACAGGAUUAGAUACCCUGGUAGUCCACGCAGUAAACGAUGAGCAUUAUCUGGUCCGGGGCGAAUUGGGGUCCUGGGCGGCCCAGCGAAAGCGUUAA
Molecule: ribosomal RNA, 871 nt
Filed under: uncultured bacterium
Lineage: Bacteria
Description: bacterial SSU rRNA
Rfam family: Bacterial small subunit ribosomal RNA
Source: RNAcentral